Molecule: ribosomal RNA, 253 nt
Filed under: uncultured bacterium
Lineage: Bacteria
Description: partial 16S ribosomal RNA
Rfam family: Bacterial small subunit ribosomal RNA
Source: RNAcentral
UACGUAGGGGGCAAGCGUUGUCCGGAAUCAUUGGGCGUAAAGAGCGUGUAGGCGGUCCGGUCAGUCGGUUGUGAAAGUCAAGGGCUCAACCCUUGAAUGCCGGCCGAUACUGCCGGGCUAGAGUCCGGAAGAGGUGAGUGGAAUUCCUGGUGUAGCGGUGAAAUGCGCAGAUAUCAGGAGGAACACCGAUGGCGAAGGCAGCUCACUGGGACGGUACUGACGCUGAGACGCGAAGGCGUGGGGAGCAAACAGG